UACGUAGGGUGCGAGCGUUAAUCGGAAUUACUGGGCGUAAAGCGUGCGCAGGCGGCUCUUCAAGUCAGAUGUGAAAGCCCCGGGCUUAACCUGGGAAUGGCGUUUGAAACUGGAGGGCUGGAGUGUGGCAGAGGGAGGUGGAAUUCCACGUGUAGCAGUGAAAUGCGUAGAGAUGUGGAGGAACACUGAUGGCGAAGGCAGCCUCCUGGGCCAACACUGACGCUCAUGCACGAAAGCGUGGGGAGCAAACAGG
RNAcentral lists this ribosomal RNA (253 nucleotides) under uncultured bacterium. RNAcentral's name for it is "partial 16S ribosomal RNA". It matches the Rfam family "Bacterial small subunit ribosomal RNA", at positions 524 to 776 of the family's 1533-position model. The record is from RNAcentral.